RNAcentral lists this ribosomal RNA (372 nucleotides) under uncultured bacterium. Its description in RNAcentral is "bacterial SSU rRNA". It matches the Rfam family "Bacterial small subunit ribosomal RNA", at positions 523 to 898 of the family's 1533-position model. The record is from RNAcentral.
AUACGUAUGUCGCAAGCGUUAUCCGGAAUUAUUGGGCAUAAAGGGCGUCUAGGCGGUUUAGAGAGUCUGAUGUGAAAAUGCGGGGCUCAACCCCGUAUUGCGUUGGAAACUACUAGACUAGAGUAUUGGAGAGGUAAGCGGAACUACAAGUGUAGAGGUGAAAUUCGUAGAUAUUUGUAGGAAUGCCAAUUGGGAAGCCAGCUUACUGGAUAAAUACUGACGCUGAAGCGCGAAAGCUAGGGGAGCAAACAGGAUUAGAUACCCUGGUAGUCCUAGCUGUAAACGAUGAUCACUGGGUGUGGGGGGUCGAACCUCCGUGCCGAAGUUAAUGCGAUAAGUGAUCCGCCUGGGGAGUACGUUCGCAAGAAUGAA